UUACCUUUCUCGGUCUUUUGGCUAAGAUCAAGUGUAGUAUCUGUUCUUAUCAGUUUAAUAUCUGAUAUGUGGGCCAAUGGCUCACACGAUAUUAAAUUCAUUUUUGUAGGGGGGGGCCCACAUGGGCAGCUUGCUGCUUUGGGCCUUCAUGCGUCGCCUGUGCGUUGCACUACUGUAUGGGCCUGGCGCACCCCAC
Molecule: small nuclear RNA, 196 nt
Filed under: Erythranthe guttata (spotted monkey flower)
Lineage: Eukaryota; Viridiplantae; Streptophyta; Magnoliopsida; Lamiales; Phrymaceae
Description: Mimulus guttatus (spotted monkey flower) U2 spliceosomal RNA
Rfam family: U2 spliceosomal RNA
About the family: U2 is a small nuclear RNA (snRNA) component of the spliceosome (involved in pre-mRNA splicing).
Source: Rfam by way of RNAcentral